This 652-nucleotide long non-coding RNA is filed under the name Malus domestica (apple). Its description in RNAcentral is "long non-coding RNA (MDOM_LNC007445)". Lineage: Eukaryota; Viridiplantae; Streptophyta; Magnoliopsida; Rosales; Rosaceae. The record is from RNAcentral.
AUGUCAUUUGUACUAAAUCAUUCACUAGUACUCGCUAAAGGAGAGCUUGAACCUAUAAACUUGUGUAAACCCUUCAUAAUUAAUGAGAACUCCUCUACUCCGUGGACGUAGCCAAUCUGGGUGAACCACGUACAUCUUGUGUUUGCUUCCCUAUCUCUAUCCAUUUACAUACUUAUCCACACUAGUAACUGGAGCUAUCUAGCGAAGGUCACAAACUUAACACUUUCUGUUGUACCAAAGUCCUCACCGAUUUUGUGCAUCAACAUUUGGCGCCGUCCGUGGGAACGACACUUAUUCCCAUUCUCUUCAGCUUUGUUAAGCUGGUUUCCACCAUUCGUACACUCUCUUUUGACUAGGUAUCACUUUCCAACAUAGGGAGCGAAGGAAGUCACAGCACACAGAAUUACACCCAUCUUGCACCUAGUGCGAAGCAACGAAAGAAUGAAGGAAAGAGGGUUGUUCUUCAAGCUAAAGUCGAUGAGCUAGAAGCUCGGAACAACAAGAUAGCAAUGAAGAAUGAGGUCCUCCAGAAGCAGUAUGAGAAGCUUUUUGAGACGCUCCACAAAACUAGGCGUACUCAAACAUGUGAGCUUGUUGCCACUGUGGACAUCAACCAUCAUCUGGGUGCCCCCCAACACCGAGGGUCACCUCC